RNAcentral lists this ribosomal RNA (397 nucleotides) under uncultured bacterium. RNAcentral describes it as "partial 16S ribosomal RNA". It matches the Rfam family "Bacterial small subunit ribosomal RNA", at positions 360 to 775 of the family's 1533-position model. The record is from RNAcentral.
AAUAUUGGACAAUGGGCGCAAGCCUGAUCCAGCCAUGCCGCGUGAGUGAUGAAGGCCCUCGGGUUGUAAAGCUCUUUCAACGGGGAAGAUAAUGACGGUAACCGUAGAAGAAGCCCCGGCUAACUUCGUGCCAGCAGCCGCGGUAAUACGAAGGGGGCUAGCGUUGUUCGGAAUUACUGGGUGUAAAGCGCACGUAGGCGGAUUGGUCAGUUAGGGGUGAAAUCCAGGGCUCAACCCUGGAACGGCCUUUAAUACUUCCGGUCUAUAGUUCGAGAGAGGUGAGUGGAAUUCCAAGUGUAGAGGUGAAAUUCGUAGAUAUUCGGAAGAACACCAGUGGCGAAGGCGGCUCACUGGCUCGAUACUGACGCUGAGGUGCGAAAGCGUGGGGAGCAAACAG